This 1278-nucleotide long non-coding RNA is filed under the name Anas platyrhynchos platyrhynchos (common mallard). RNAcentral's name for it is "lncRNA (ENSAPLG00000026928.1)". The record is from RNAcentral. Lineage: Eukaryota; Metazoa; Chordata; Aves; Anseriformes; Anatidae.
GCUAAGGCCCUUUGCUGUUUGCACUGCAUUUACCCCAGUGGCUUUUGACUCCGGGGGUUACCCAGGCACCACCACAACAAAGCAAUAACAAGCUGCACUUACUCUCUCAGCACAGGCCAGAGCAAAGUUCUCUGUAAGCCCAGCUGAGGCUUUUGAAACAGCAGCAAGGAAGGUUGCUGCUUGCUGCUGCCUACUUUCCACGCCUCACCUCCUCUCCUGCCCUCCCCGGCCUGUGCUUAGAAGGAAAACACAGGGCCCCUGAUUUUUCUGGUUUUCUUAUCACAGAUACCGCUUGGGUUGUAGGACUCGAGCGUUGUUCUCUCAUCCCUAGGGAGGAGUUUACAUCGUCAUUUCUCAGCAGCCGUUCCAAUGACAAGUCCCUGCCCCAACGGCUGCAACUGGCAGGGAGGGCGAGCCAUUGUGCAGCCUUUGAAAUUUGGCAUCAAGCUUGCGCUGGCUCCCAACCGCCUGCAAAGCAGCCCCAGCUCAUUCAUAUAUCCAUGUCAGGCAGACAAAGCGCAGGGCUGAAUUGGCAAGAAAUCCCGAGCCAGAUAUAUGACACAAAGAGGUGCAAUUCUAGACUCCCCUAACGCUGGCAGCAAAGGAUGGAAAGUGCAGCAGUGAUUCACACGAGCACUACCUGAAAAGGCCUUUGAAGAGGGGCUCUGGCCAAGCUGAUAGCAGCCACAGCCCGAUUUGUGUCACCCAGACAUAUCACGCAGUGCUCAGCCCCCUGCUCUCCCUAUCAGCUCUGCGCCUGUCAACAGAUCGAGAAGCACCAGCAGCCUGCUCUCCGAGGAGCUGGCAAACAAGCGGAGGCAGACUGACACGGAGACGUGAGAAAGAGCAGCCCCAUCCCCUCCUCCAGGCUUCAGAACAAAGAUGCUUGCGGUUUGUUAUAAAGAUGCUUCUUCCUUUGGUUUUCAAGCACUGGUGCCUACUUGAAAAGGCACGUUCAACUCCGAGCCCUUUGCACUUGUCAGCACCCUUUUCAGCUGUCACCUCCCUCUAAGCCUUCCUGUACUCACGCCCUCCCCCACUACUAAUUAAACUAGAUCUUACAAAACAAUAUUUUGACAAAAGCGAUGAGCUUUAUGCACUACAGACCGUGAAAUGCCUAGAGCAGGAGUCUCGUCUUUCUCCCACAGUUUCUGAAAUAUCAUAAAAAUGAUUAUUAUACAUAUAAUUAGAGUAGGCUUCAGCCUUAAUAUUUUUUCACCAAUAUUUCUAACUAUAAACUAAUUUCUGAUAGGAAUAAAAACUUCAUAGCGUGGGGCA